RNAcentral lists this ribosomal RNA (253 nucleotides) under uncultured bacterium. RNAcentral describes it as "partial 16S ribosomal RNA". It matches the Rfam family "Bacterial small subunit ribosomal RNA", at positions 524 to 776 of the family's 1533-position model. The record is from RNAcentral.
UACGUAGGUGGCAAGCGUUGUCCGGAAUUAUUGGGCGUAAAGCGCGCGCAGGCGGUUUCUCAAGUCUGAUGUGAAAUCUCGCGGCUCAACCGUGAGCGGUCAUUGGAAACUGGGAAACUUGAGUGCAGAAGAGAAGAGCGGAAUUCCACGUGUAGCGGUGAAAUGCGUAGAGAUGUGGAGGAACACCAGUGGCGAAGGCGGCUCUUUGGUCUGUAACUGACGCUGAGGCGCGAAAGCGUGGGGAGCGAACAGG